Molecule: non-coding RNA, 26 nt
Filed under: Homo sapiens (human)
Lineage: Eukaryota; Metazoa; Chordata; Mammalia; Primates; Hominidae
Source: RNAcentral
UGCAUCCUGUGUGCAGCUCUUAGGUC